CGCAGGAAGCAGGCAGAUCCCCUUCGGGGGUGAUGCCUGUGGAAUGAGCGGCGGACGGGUGAGUAACACGUGGGCAACCUGCCUGUAAGAUCGGAAUAACUCCGGGAAACCGGGGCUAAUGCCGGGUAAUCUUUUCCCUCGCAUGAGGGAGAAGUAAAAGAUGGCCUUUGGCUAUCACUUACAGAUGGGCCCGCGGCGCAUUAGCUAGUUGGUGAGGUAAUAGCUCACCAAGGCGACGAUGCGUAGCCGACCUGAGAGGGUGAUCGGCCACACUGGGACUGAGACACGGCCCAGACUCCUACGGGAGGCAGCAGUAGGGAAUCUUCCGCAAUGGACGAAAGUCUGACGGAGCAACGCCGCGUGAACGAUGAAGGUCUUCGGAUCGUAAAGUUCUGUUGUUAGGGAAGAACAAGUACCGUGCGAAUAGAGCGGUACCUUGACGGUACCUAACGAGGAAGCCCCGGCUAACUACGUGCCAGCAGCCGCGGUAAUACGUAGGGGGCAAGCGUUGUCCGGAAUUAUUGGGCGUAAAGCGCGCGCAGGCGGUUUCUUAAGUCUGAUGUGAAAGCCCACGGCUCAACCGUGGAGGGUCAUUGGAAACUGGGGAACUUGAGGACAGAAGAGGAGAGUGGAAUUCCACGUGUAGCGGUGAAAUGCGUAGAUAUGUGGAGGAACACCAGUGGCGAAGGCG
RNAcentral lists this ribosomal RNA (691 nucleotides) under Halobacillus sp. YIM 94286. Its description in RNAcentral is "bacterial SSU rRNA". It matches the Rfam family "Bacterial small subunit ribosomal RNA", at positions 45 to 723 of the family's 1533-position model. The record is from RNAcentral. Lineage: Bacteria; Bacillati; Bacillota; Bacilli; Caryophanales; Bacillaceae.